This 200-nucleotide ribosomal RNA is filed under the name uncultured bacterium. Its description in RNAcentral is "partial 16S ribosomal RNA". It matches the Rfam family "Bacterial small subunit ribosomal RNA", at positions 311 to 502 of the family's 1533-position model. The record is from RNAcentral.
CACCGCAAGCGAGGCGCGGGCCCGACGCCUACGGGAGGCAGCAGUGGGGAAUAUUGGACAAUGGGCGAAAGCCUGAUCCAGCCAUGCCGCGUGUGUGAAGAAGGUCUUCGGAUUGUAAAGCACUUUAAGUUGGGAGGAAGAGCAGUAAGCUUAAUACCUUGCUGUUUUGACGUUACCAACAGAAUAAGCACCGGCUAACU